UACAGAGGGCUCAAGCGUUGUUCGGAUUCAUUGGGCGUAAAGGGUGCGUAGGCGGCGUGGUAAGUCGGGUGUGAAAUCUCGGAGCUUAACUCCGAAACUGCAUUCGAUACUGCCGUGCUUGAGGACUGGAGAGGAGAGUGGAAUUUACGGUGUAGCAGUGAAAUGCGUAGAGAUCGUAAGGAAGACCAGUGGCGAAGGCGGGUCUCUGGACAGUACCUGACGCUGAGGCACGAAGGCCAGGGGAGCAAACGGG
Molecule: ribosomal RNA, 253 nt
Filed under: uncultured bacterium
Lineage: Bacteria
Description: partial 16S ribosomal RNA
Rfam family: Bacterial small subunit ribosomal RNA
Source: RNAcentral